AUGCUAAUGUGGGCACGUAGAUGGUGCCUGUUGCGAACCAGCCGCAUGCAUAGCCGUAGAUCCAGCCUCAAGCCAACCAGAGCUGGUCAACAAUCUGGUCCAGCAAGUCCCGCCCACGGCCGCAGCCAGAGCUGGCCCUGGGUCUCAGGCCUUGUAGGCGUCAACUUUCUUCUUGGAGCUGUCAACAUCAUGCUUACAGUUCUCGUCCUCAUGGUCGUGGUUGCGUCCGCAUGUGCCAGGGAUCUAUGUGUUAGUGUACUACUAUGUAAUGAAGUAAUUAAGGGUGGCUCCCUCUACCGCUAA
RNAcentral lists this ribosomal RNA (303 nucleotides) under Triticum aestivum (bread wheat). RNAcentral describes it as "partial small subunit ribosomal RNA". Lineage: Eukaryota; Viridiplantae; Streptophyta; Magnoliopsida; Poales; Poaceae. The record is from RNAcentral.